RNAcentral lists this ribosomal RNA (489 nucleotides) under uncultured bacterium. Its description in RNAcentral is "bacterial SSU rRNA". It matches the Rfam family "Bacterial small subunit ribosomal RNA", at positions 31 to 507 of the family's 1533-position model. The record is from RNAcentral.
GAACGCUAGCUACAGGCUUAACACAUGCAAGUCGAGGGGCAGCAUGGUCUUAGCUUGCUAAGGCCGAUGGCGACCGGCGCACGGGUGAGUAACACGUAUCCAACCUGCCGUCUACNCUUGGACAGCCUUCUGAAAAGGAAGAUUAAUACAAGAUGGCAUCAUGAGUCCGCAUGUUCACAUGAUUAAAGGUAUUCCGGUAGACGAUGGGGAUGCGUUCCAUUAGAUAGUAGGCGGGGUAACGGCCCACCUAGUCUUCGAUGGAUAGGGGGUUCUGAGAGGAAGGUCCCCCACAUUGGAACUGAGACACGGUCCAAACUCCUACGGGAGGCAGCAGUGAGGAAUAUUGGUCAAUGGGCGAGAGCCUGAACCAGCCAAGUAGCGUGAAGGAUGACUGCCCUAUGGGUUGUAAACUUCUUUUAUAAAGGAAUAAAGUCGGGUAUGUAUACCCGUUUGCAUGUACUUUAUGAAUAAGGAUCGGCUAACUCCGUG